Molecule: ribosomal RNA, 1125 nt
Filed under: uncultured archaeon
Lineage: Archaea
Description: bacterial SSU rRNA
Rfam family: Archaeal small subunit ribosomal RNA
Source: RNAcentral
UUCCGGUUGAUCCCGCCGGACCUGACUGCUAUCGGAUUGAUACUAAGCCAUGCGAGUCAUUGUAGCAAUACAAGGCAGACGGCUCAGUAACGCGUAGUCAACCUACCCUAUGGACGGGGAUAACCUCGGGAAACUGAGAAUAAUACCUGAUAGAACACUAUACCUGGAAUGGUUUGUGUUCCAAAUAAUUUAUUGCCGUAGGAUGGGACUGCGGCCUAUCAGUUUGUUGGUGAGGUAAUGGCCCACCAAGACUAUUACAGGUACGGGCUCUGAGAGGAGUGGCCCGGAGAUGGGUACUGAGACACGGACCCAGGCCCUAUGGGGCGCAGCAGGCGAGAAAACUUUGCAAUGUGCGAAAGCACGACAAGGUUAAUCCGAGUGGUUUCUGCUAAAGGAACCUUUUGACAGUCCUAGAAACACUGUUGAAUAAGGGGUGGGCAAGUUCUGGUGUCAGCCGCCGCGGUAAAACCAGCACCUCAAGUGGUCAGGAUGAUUAUUGGGCCUAAAGCAUCCGUAGCCGGCUCUGUAAGUUUUCGGUUAAAUCUGUACGCUCAACGUACAGGCUGCUGGGAAUACUGCAGGGCUAGGGAGUGGGAGAGAUAGACGGUACUCGGGAGGAAGUGGUAAAAUGCUUUGAUCUCUCGAUGACUACCUGUGGCGAAGGCGGUCUAUCAGAACACGUCCGACGGUGAGGGAUGAAAGCUGGGGGAGCAAACCGGAUUAGAUACCCGGGUAGUCCCAGCUGUAAACUAUGCAAACUCAAUGAUGCAUUGACUUAUGGUCAAUGCAGUGUUGCAGGGAAGCCGUUAAGUUUGCCGCCUGGGAAGUACGUACGCAAGUAUGAAACUUAAGGAAUUGGCGGGGGAGCACCACAAGGGGUGAAGCCUGCGGUUCAAUUGGAGUCAACGCCGGAAAUCACUAGUGCGGGCCGCCUGCAAGUCGACCAUAUGGGAGAGCUCCCAACGCGUUGGAUGCAUCGCUUGAGUAUUCUAUAGUGUCACCUAAAUAGCUUGGCGUAUCAUGGUCAUAGCUGUUCCUGUGUGAAAUGUNUCCGCUCACAUUUCCACACAACAUACGAGCCCGGAGCAUAAGUGUAAGGCCUGGGGGGUGCCUAAUGGAGUGUGA